This 451-nucleotide ribosomal RNA is filed under the name uncultured bacterium. Its description in RNAcentral is "bacterial SSU rRNA". It matches the Rfam family "Bacterial small subunit ribosomal RNA", at positions 29 to 525 of the family's 1533-position model. The record is from RNAcentral.
AACGAACGCUGGCGGCAUGCCUAACACAUGCAAGUCGAACGAAGCCUUCGGGCUUAGUGGCGCACGGGUGCGUAACGCGUGGGAAUCUGCCCUUGGGUUCGGAAUAACAGUUAGAAAUGACUGCUAAUACCGGAUGAUGUCUUCGGACCAAAGAUUUAUCGCCCAAGGAUGAGCCCGCGUAGGAUUAGGUAGUUGGUGGGGUAAUGGCUCACCAAGCCGACGAUCCUUAGCUGGUCUGAGAGGAUGAUCAGCCACACUGGGACUGAGACACGGCCCAGACUCCUACGGGAGGCAGCAGUGGGGAAUAUUGGACAAUGGGCGAAAGCCUGAUCCAGCAAUGCCGCGUGAGUGAUGAAGGCCUUAGGGUUGUAAAGCUCUUUUACCAGGGAUGAUAAUGACAGUACCUGGAGAAUAAGCUCCGGCUAACUCCGUGCCAGCAGCCGCGGUAAAG